This 2825-nucleotide ribosomal RNA is filed under the name Klebsiella pneumoniae. RNAcentral describes it as "bacterial LSU rRNA". It matches the Rfam family "Bacterial large subunit ribosomal RNA". The record is from RNAcentral. Lineage: Bacteria; Pseudomonadati; Pseudomonadota; Gammaproteobacteria; Enterobacterales; Enterobacteriaceae.
GGGUUGUGAGGUUAAGCGACUAAGCGUACACGGUGGAUGCCCUGGCAGUCAGAGGCGAUGAAGGACGUGCUAAUCUGCGAAAAGCGUCGGUAAGGUGAUAUGAACCGUUAUAACCGGCGAUGUCCGAAUGGGGAAACCCAGUGCAAUUCGUUGCACUAUCGUUAACUGAAUACAUAGGUUAACGAGGCGAACCGGGGGAACUGAAACAUCUAAGUACCCCGAGGAAAAGAAAUCAACCGAGAUUCCCCCAGUAGCGGCGAGCGAACGGGGAGCAGCCCAGAGUCUGAAUCAGCUUGUGUGUUAGUGGAACGGUCUGGAAAGUCCGACGGUACAGGGUGAUAGUCCCGUACACCAAAAUGCACAGGCUGUGAACUCGAAGAGUAGGGCGGGACACGUGGUAUCCUGUCUGAAUAUGGGGGGACCAUCCUCCAAGGCUAAAUACUCCUGACUGACCGAUAGUGAACCAGUACCGUGAGGGAAAGGCGAAAAGAACCCCGGCGAGGGGAGUGAAAAAGAACCUGAAACCGUGUACGUACAAGCAGUGGGAGCACCUUCGGGUGUGACUGCGUACCUUUUGUAUAAUGGGUCAGCGACUUAUAUUCUGUAGCAAGGUUAACCGUAUAGGGGAGCCGCAGGGAAACCGAGUCUUAACUGGGCGUUAAGUUGCAGGGUAUAGACCCGAAACCCGGUGAUCUAGCCAUGGGCAGGUUGAAGGUUGGGUAACACUAACUGGAGGACCGAACCGACUAAUGUUGAAAAAUUAGCGGAUGACUUGUGGCUGGGGGUGAAAGGCCAAUCAAACCGGGAGAUAGCUGGUUCUCCCCGAAAGCUAUUUAGGUAGCGCCUCGUGAACUCAUCUUCGGGGGUAGAGCACUGUUUCGGCUAGGGGGUCAUCCCGACUUACCAACCCGAUGCAAACUACGAAUACCGAAGAAUGUUAUCACGGGAGACACACGGCGGGUGCUAACGUCCGUCGUGAAGAGGGAAACAACCCAGACCGCCAGCUAAGGUCCCAAAGUCAUGGUUAAGUGGGAAACGAUGUGGGAAGGCACAGACAGCCAGGAUGUUGGCUUAGAAGCAGCCAUCAUUUAAAGAAAGCGUAAUAGCUCACUGGUCGAGUCGGCCUGCGCGGAAGAUGUAACGGGGCUAAACCAUGCACCGAAGCUGCGGCAGCGACACUAUGUGUUGUUGGGUAGGGGAGCGUUCUGUAAGCCUGCGAAGGUGUGCUGUGAGGCAUGCUGGAGGUAUCAGAAGUGCGAAUGCUGACAUAAGUAACGAUAAAGCGGGUGAAAAGCCCGCUCGCCGGAAGACCAAGGGUUCCUGUCCAACGUUAAUCGGGGCAGGGUGAGUCGACCCCUAAGGCGAGGCCGAAAGGCGUAGUCGAUGGGAAACAGGUUAAUAUUCCUGUACUUGGUGUUACUGCGAAGGGGGGACGGAGAAGGCUAUGUUAGCCGGGCGACGGUUGUCCCGGUUUAAGCAUGUAGGCUGGUUAUCCAGGCAAAUCCGGAUAAUCAAGGCUGAGGUGUGAUGACGAGGCACUACGGUGCUGAAGUAACAAAUGCCCUGCUUCCAGGAAAAGCCUCUAAGCAUCAGGUAACAUCAAAUCGUACCCCAAACCGACACAGGUGGUCAGGUAGAGAAUACCAAGGCGCUUGAGAGAACUCGGGUGAAGGAACUAGGCAAAAUGGUGCCGUAACUUCGGGAGAAGGCACGCUGGUGUGUAGGUGAAGUCCCUGCGGAUGGAGCUGAGACCAGUCGAAGAUACCAGCUGGCUGCAACUGUUUAUUAAAAACACAGCACUGUGCAAACACGAAAGUGGACGUAUACGGUGUGACGCCUGCCCGGUGCCGGAAGGUUAAUUGAUGGGGUUAUCCGUAAGGAGAAGCUCUUGAUCGAAGCCCCGGUAAACGGCGGCCGUAACUAUAACGGUCCUAAGGUAGCGAAAUUCCUUGUCGGGUAAGUUCCGACCUGCACGAAUGGCGUAAUGAUGGCCAGGCUGUCUCCACCCGAGACUCAGUGAAAUUGAACUCGCUGUGAAGAUGCAGUGUACCCGCGGCAAGACGGAAAGACCCCGUGAACCUUUACUAUAGCUUGACACUGAACAUUGAGCCUUGAUGUGUAGGAUAGGUGGGAGGCUUUGAAGCGUGGACGCCAGUCUGCGUGGAGCCAACCUUGAAAUACCACCCUUUAAUGUUUGAUGUUCUAACGUUGGCCCCUGACCGGGGUUGCGGACAGUGUCUGGUGGGUAGUUUGACUGGGGCGGUCUCCUCCCAAAGCGUAACGGAGGAGCACGAAGGUUAGCUAAUCCUGGUCGGACAUCAGGAGGUUAGUGCAAUGGCAUAAGCUAGCUUGACUGCGAGCGUGACGGCGCGAGCAGGUGCGAAAGCAGGUCAUAGUGAUCCGGUGGUUCUGAAUGGAAGGGCCAUCGCUCAACGGAUAAAAGGUACUCCGGGGAUAACAGGCUGAUACCGCCCAAGAGUUCAUAUCGACGGCGGUGUUUGGCACCUCGAUGUCGGCUCAUCACAUCCUGGGGCUGAAGUAGGUCCCAAGGGUAUGGCUGUUCGCCAUUUAAAGUGGUACGCGAGCUGGGUUUAGAACGUCGUGAGACAGUUCGGUCCCUAUCUGCCGUGGGCGCUGGAGAAUUGAGGGGGGCUGCUCCUAGUACGAGAGGACCGGAGUGGACGCAUCACUGGUGUUCGGGUUGUCAUGCCAAUGGCACUGCCCGGUAGCUAAAUGCGGAAGAGAUAAGUGCUGAAAGCAUCUAAGCACGAAACUUGCCCCGAGAUGAGUUCUCCCUGAGACUUUAAGUCUCCUGAAGGAACGUU